UUUUCCACCAAGGUCAUCGAUCCUAGAACUACUUUAUUUUUAAAUUUGCUCAACCCUCUUAGCCUCUUAGGCCUAAUCACUGCCCAAAAUAUUGUAGUCGAAUUAAAAGGUUAGCCCUGUUAGAAAAUUGCGUACGAUAAAAACUCAGCGGAAAAGGAAAUCAAACAAAUUUGAUUUUUGAAAACUCUCGAGAUCUAAUCUCAAAAACCACGCAUUUAGGAUCCCUCAUGUUUUUUAAGAUUAAAGGAGCAAAGCAAGAUCGUAUCUUUACCUUUUUCACGGAUAAAUCCUCACCUCAAUUUGAUGAUCGUGGAAUUAGGUUAUCUUGAAGCCGCACACUCAUCCGGCCUCUAUAGGUAUCCACAUAAGGUUCUUGAUUUGAUCGAUGUCCUCACUGGGGUACUAGCUCCCUUGCAAAAGGUCGUCUUUCUUGCUAGAAUAUGGAAGAGAGAGGAGGAGAGAGAUGGACGGCUAGGGUUUUCUAAAAACUCCCGUAUAUUAUAUAGAGGAAUAUAAUUCUCUUUCUAAUAAUAUAAUGACAAUUAAGGAUAAGUACAAAUCUAGAUUUAAAUUUAUCAUUUUCUUAAUUGGUUUGAUCGAUCAAAUCUUAAUCUGAUUCGACUUGAACUUUAUAUUAAUUUGAUCAUAUCAAUUUAAUAAUACAACAUUUGCAUAUAAGUCCUCUUAUAAUUUACUAACUAUUAGUAAGUCCUCUCUUGUAACAUUUACACCUUAAUAUCACUAAUUUGUAACAAUUACAAAUUAGUCCAAUUAUCAACAUAUUGACAAUUAGGCCCUCCGGCGAUUCAAUAAUCGCGGUCUAGCUAUCUGACCAAUCACAACCUCUUAUGUGUGUGACUCCAUAGAUUCUAUUCUAUCUGGUAGUGAGAUAUAUUUUGAUCACUAUCAACAAUAUCACUGAAACUCCUUUCAGUGG
Molecule: long non-coding RNA, 937 nt
Filed under: Ananas comosus (pineapple)
Lineage: Eukaryota; Viridiplantae; Streptophyta; Magnoliopsida; Poales; Bromeliaceae
Description: long non-coding RNA (ACOM_LNC025772)
Source: RNAcentral